GGGAAUAACACCGGGAAACCGGUGCUAAUACCGCAUACGAUCACGAUGUCUGUGGAUGUUGUGAUGAAAGGAGCAAUUCGCUCCAGGAGGAGCCCGCGGCUGAUUAACUACUUGGUGAGGUAACGGCUCACCAA
RNAcentral lists this ribosomal RNA (134 nucleotides) under uncultured bacterium. Its description in RNAcentral is "partial 16S ribosomal RNA". It matches the Rfam family "Bacterial small subunit ribosomal RNA", at positions 139 to 271 of the family's 1533-position model. The record is from RNAcentral.